Vigna umbellata (rice bean) is the source of this 807-nucleotide non-coding RNA. The record is from RefSeq and is a predicted model, not a curated record. Lineage: Eukaryota; Viridiplantae; Streptophyta; Magnoliopsida; Fabales; Fabaceae.
CAAGAAUACCAUGCCCUUUUUUCUUUGCCGGAGGGUGGGCUUUGGGUUUUAAGCAUGUUGCUGUUGACUGCUUUUGUUGGAUAUUGGGAUGCCUGCAGGUAUCAUUCUGAAUCUGGUUGGCAAACUUUGCUAGAGAUAAUUGUUGAGCACUAUGGGCUUGAAGUUGAUCAGUCAACUAUAACUAUUUUUGUCUGCCUGGUCCCAGUUGUCAUGGAUGCAUGCGUGAAACUUUGGCUGUUUAAAUUCCUCCCACGUUUGUCUCCAAGGGUGACAAAUAUAUUUCAGGAAAUGAAACGACACUAGUCUGGGUACUGCUUCAAGGGCGCCUUUUGUUUGAAAGUGGUCUGUUUUUUUAAAAGAAAGAAGUCUAUGCUGAUUGGCUUUCUUUCAAUUAUAUGGUAGACGACAGCAGUUGAAGGAGUUUCAUUGCGGCCAGCAAAAUCAUCCCUUAAAUCCGACAACAAAUAAAUACAAGCCUUAAAUAUCAUUUUGAUUUUGAAAUUCAACUCUUAUUUGGUUAGAUCCUGGAAUUGGUUUGUUUGAGAUGGAUCUUUAAAAGUAAAUUGGUGUUUCAAAGUUGAAAACGUGAUGAAAUAUAUUUCUGAUGAGGUUGCCUAGCGUACAUUCGGAUGCUUUGAGAGUGGGGACGAUUUUCAUGAGCACCAAGAAUUUCUUCAUCUUCUAAUGGAUGAAAAUGAACCAUGUGAUUGAUUAAUGGGUAAGAAGUUCCAUAUGAAAUGUAUUUGUAUAUGGAAUGACAGGAAUAAAAGAUCAACUUGGCUAAUGGUCAAAUUGAAAUCCAAGUCA